AGUGGUACGCGAGCUGGGUUUAGAACGUCGUGAGACAGUUCGGUCCCUAUCUGCCGUGGGCGUUGGAAGAUUGAAGGGGGCUGCUCCUAGUACGAGAGGACCGGAGUGGACGAACCUCUGGUGUUCGGGUUGUGUCGCCAGACGCAUUGCCCGGUAGCUAAGUUCGGAAUUGAUAAGCGCUGAAAGCAUCUAAGCGCGAAGCGAGCCCUGAGAUGAGUCUUCCCUGACAGUUUAACUGUCCUAAAGGGUUGUUCGAGACUAGAACGUUGAUAGGCAGGGUGUGUAAGCGUUGUGAGGCGUUGAGCUAACCUGUACUAAUUGCCCGUGAGGCUUAACCAUACAACACCCAAGGGGUUUUGUA
Molecule: ribosomal RNA, 361 nt
Filed under: Vibrio cholerae
Lineage: Bacteria; Pseudomonadati; Pseudomonadota; Gammaproteobacteria; Vibrionales; Vibrionaceae
Description: bacterial LSU rRNA
Rfam family: Bacterial large subunit ribosomal RNA
Source: RNAcentral